CCUACGGGGGGCAGCAGUGAGGAAUAUUGGUCAAUGGGCGAGAGCCUGAACCAGCCAAGUAGCGUGAAGGAUGACUGCCCUAUGGGUUGUAAACUUCUUUUAUAUGGGAAUAAAGUGUAGCACGUAUACGGUUUUGUAUGUACCUUAUGAAUAAGGAUCGGCUAACUCCGUGCCAGCAGCCGCGGUAAUACGGAGGAUCCGAGCGUUAUCCGGAUUUAUUGGGUUUAAAGGGAGCGUAGGUGGGUUGGUAAGUCAGUUGUGAAAGUUUGCGGCUCAACCGUAAAAUUGCAGUUGAUACUGGCAGCCUUGAGUACAGUAGAGGUGGGCGGAAUUCGUGGUGUAGCGGUGAAAUGCUUAGAUAUCACGAAGAACUCCGAUUGCGAAGGCAGCCUACUGGACUGCAACUGACGCUGAGGCUCGAAAGUGUGGGUAUCAAACAGGAUUAGAUACCCUUGUAGUC
This 460-nucleotide ribosomal RNA is filed under the name uncultured bacterium. RNAcentral describes it as "partial 16S ribosomal RNA". It matches the Rfam family "Bacterial small subunit ribosomal RNA", at positions 338 to 795 of the family's 1533-position model. The record is from RNAcentral.